RNAcentral lists this ribosomal RNA (458 nucleotides) under uncultured bacterium. RNAcentral describes it as "bacterial SSU rRNA". It matches the Rfam family "Bacterial small subunit ribosomal RNA", at positions 28 to 479 of the family's 1533-position model. The record is from RNAcentral.
GAUGAACGCUGGCGGCGUGCCUAAUACAUGCAAGUCGAGCGGACAGACGAGGUGCUUGCACCUCUGAAGUCAGCGGCGGACGGGUGAGUAACACGUGGGUAACCUACCUGUAAGACUGGGAUAACUUCGGGAAACCGGAGCUAAUACCGGAUAAUAUUUUCCACCUCAUGGUGGAAUAGUGAAAGACGGUUUUGCUGUCACUUACAGAUGGACCCGCGGCGCAUUAGCUAGUUGGUGAGGUAACGGCUCACCAAGGCGACGAUGCGUAGCCGACCUGAGAGGGUGAUCGGCCACACUGGGACUGAGACACGGCCCAGACUCCUACGGGAGGCAGCAGUAGGGAAUCUUCCGCAAUGGACGAAAGUCUGACGGAGUAACGCCGCGUGAGUGAAGAAGGUCUUCGGAUCGUAAAACUCUGUUGUAAGGGAAGAACAAGUACGUUAGUAACUGAACGUACC